CGGCAACAGCUCAAAUUUGAAAUCUGGCCUUUGGCCCGAAUUGUAAUUUGUAGAGGAUGCUUUUGGUGCGGCACCGUUCUAAGUUCCUUGGAACAGGGCGUCAUAGAGGGUGAGAAUCCCGUACGUGACCGGUGACCAAUCCUCUGUAAAGCUCCUUCGAC
This 161-nucleotide ribosomal RNA is filed under the name Stictidaceae sp. RNAcentral's name for it is "partial large subunit ribosomal RNA". It matches the Rfam family "Eukaryotic large subunit ribosomal RNA", at positions 99 to 261 of the family's 3401-position model. Lineage: Eukaryota; Fungi; Ascomycota; Lecanoromycetes; Ostropales; Stictidaceae. The record is from RNAcentral.